AACUAAAAAAAUUAGUUGUUUUUUUUUAGUUUUUAGUUUUUUAGGGUUUUUUUGAGGCUGGUCGAUCUCUUGAGCUCAGGAGUUUUGAGCCACAGUGAGCUAAGCUGCUCAGGUAUAUACACUAAGUCCAGCACGGAUAUGGUGAGCUCCCAGGAGCAAGCAACCAGGCUGCCUGAGGAGGGGACAACUAACCCAGUUCAGAAAUGGAGGAGGUCAAAGCUCCAUUCCCAAAUUUGUAGUGAGAUUGGAUUUGUGAAUGGCCACUACAUGUGCAGCCUGGGUGAGAUAGAGAGAUUCAGUCUCU
RNAcentral lists this signal recognition particle RNA (304 nucleotides) under Phascolarctos cinereus (koala). RNAcentral describes it as "Metazoan signal recognition particle RNA (ENSPCIG00000006488.2)". It matches the Rfam family "Metazoan signal recognition particle RNA". Rfam says of the family: The signal recognition particle (SRP) is a universally conserved ribonucleoprotein. Lineage: Eukaryota; Metazoa; Chordata; Mammalia; Diprotodontia; Phascolarctidae. The record is from RNAcentral.